GAUGAAGAACGUAGCGAAAUGCGAUAAGUAAUGUGAAUUGCAGAAUUCAGUGAAUCAUCGAAUCGUUGAACGCACCUUGCACCCUUUGGCAUUCCGAAGGGUAUGCUCGUUUGAGUGUCAUUGUACUCUCACACUCUCCGAUCCUAUGGAUUCGGGGAGCGGUGGACUUGGGUGUUGCUGCCUUUCCCUGUGGCUCACCUCAAAUGCGUCAGUGCACCUCUUGGUUGGACAUAGUACGGCGUGAUAAGUGUCUUCGCCGGCACCUCGCAAGAGGGUGGCCGAUCGGGAGCUCUGCGCUUUCAAACCGUCUUCGGACAAUUUCUGACAUCUUGACCUCAAAUCGAGUAGGACUACCCGCUGAACUUAAGCAUAUCAAUAAGCGGAGGA
Molecule: unclassified non-coding RNA, 387 nt
Filed under: soil metagenome
Description: partial contains 5.8S ribosomal RNA, internal transcribed spacer 2, and large subunit ribosomal RNA
Rfam family: 5.8S ribosomal RNA (bases 1-120)
Source: RNAcentral